This 465-nucleotide ribosomal RNA is filed under the name uncultured bacterium. Its description in RNAcentral is "partial 16S ribosomal RNA". It matches the Rfam family "Bacterial small subunit ribosomal RNA", at positions 28 to 507 of the family's 1533-position model. The record is from RNAcentral.
GAUGAACGCUGGCGGCGUGCUUAACACAUGCAAGUCGAACGGAAAGGCCCUGCUUGCAGGGUACUCGAGUGGCGAACGGGUGAGUAACACGUGGGUGAUCUGCCCUGCACUUCGGGAUAAGCCUGGGAAACUGGGUCUAAUACCGGAUAGGAGCCAUUUUUAGUGUGAUGGUUGGAAAGUUUUUUCGGUGUAGGAUGAGCUCGCGGCCUAUCAGCUUGUUGGUGGGGUAAUGGCCUACCAAGGCGGCGACGGGUAGCCGGCCUGAGAGGGUGGACGGCCACAUUGGGACUGAGAUGCGGCCCAGGCUCCGACGGGAGGAAGCAGUGGGGAAGAUUGCACAAGGGGCGCAAGCCUGAUGCAGCGACGCCGCGUGGGGGAUGACGGCCUUCGGGUUGUAAACUCCUUUCGCUAGGGACGAAGCUUUUUGUGACGGUACCUAGAUAAGAAGCACCGGCUAACUACGUG